GUCCUAAGUUGUUGCUGACCAAUGUUCUUCGUAUCUGCCUGUGCUGAACAAAGAUGGCACCAAUUGCCAGCCCCAUCCACCAUGGUUUAUGAUUUCUCCAUGCUAGAGGCUGAUGCAAUUCCCAUGGAAGUCGAUGGAAGGUUAUCAAGACUUACAGGAAUAAUUUAACACAGCUAAACAUCUAAUUUGUCUUCAAAGAUAUGGGGAGAAAAAGGCAACAAUUGAUGUGAGGAAUUACAGUCCCUCAAAUUAUUUUAUGGAAGAUUGUGCUGGUGCCUCAGGAGCUAAAACCUCCAAGAAU
Molecule: long non-coding RNA, 301 nt
Organism: Cygnus atratus (black swan)
Lineage: Eukaryota; Metazoa; Chordata; Aves; Anseriformes; Anatidae
Exons: 4
Source: RefSeq, a predicted model, not a curated record